Molecule: ribosomal RNA, 289 nt
Filed under: uncultured Cytophagia bacterium
Lineage: Bacteria; Pseudomonadati; Bacteroidota; Cytophagia
Description: partial 16S ribosomal RNA
Source: RNAcentral
CUACUGGGGUAUCUAAUCCUGUUCGCUCCCCACGCUUUCGUACCUUAGCGUCAGUUACAGUCCAGUAAGCUGGCUUCCCUAUCGGUGUUCCUCAUGGUAUCUAUGCAUUUCACCGCUACACCAUGAAUUCCGCCUACCUCUACUGUACUCAAGAUACUCAGUAUCAAAGGCAAUUCUACGGUUGAGCCGCAGGCUUUCACCUCUGACUUAAAUAUCCGCCUACGUACCCUUUAAACCCAAUAAAUCCGGACAACGCUUGCACCCUCCGUAUUACCGCGGCUGCUGGCAC